UCUCGAUUGGUCUAGUGGUAAGGAUACCUGCUUGUCAUCAUCUGACAAUUCGCAGGUGGCCGGGGUUCGAUUCCCCGAUCGAGAG
This 85-nucleotide transfer RNA is filed under the name Nemania serpens. Its description in RNAcentral is "tRNA-Asp". It matches the Rfam family "tRNA". Rfam says of the family: Transfer RNA (tRNA) molecules are approximately 80 nucleotides in length. Their secondary structure includes four short double-helical elements and three loops (D, anti-codon, and T loops). Lineage: Eukaryota; Fungi; Ascomycota; Sordariomycetes; Xylariales; Xylariaceae. The record is from RNAcentral.